UAGCAGCACAAAAAUAUUGGCA
This 22-nucleotide non-coding RNA is filed under the name Mus musculus (house mouse). RNAcentral also lists the same sequence under 1 other name. Lineage: Eukaryota; Metazoa; Chordata; Mammalia; Rodentia; Muridae. The record is from RNAcentral.